RNAcentral lists this ribosomal RNA (252 nucleotides) under uncultured bacterium. RNAcentral's name for it is "partial 16S ribosomal RNA". It matches the Rfam family "Bacterial small subunit ribosomal RNA", at positions 524 to 776 of the family's 1533-position model. The record is from RNAcentral.
UACGAAGGGGGCUAGCGUUGCUCGGAAUCACUGGGCGUAAAGCGCACGUAGGCGGAUCUUUUAAGUCAGGGGUGAAUCCUGAGCUCAACUCCAGAACUGCCUUUGAUACUGGGGAUCUCGAGUCCGGAAGAGGUGAGUGGAACUCCGAGUGUAGAGGUGAAAUUCGUAGAUAUUCGGAAGAACACCAGUGGCGAAGGCGACUUACUGGACACAUAUUGACGCUGAGGUGCGAAAGCGUGGGGAGCAAACAGG